Molecule: non-coding RNA, 98 nt
Organism: Mytilinidion resinicola
Lineage: Eukaryota; Fungi; Ascomycota; Dothideomycetes; Mytilinidiales; Mytilinidiaceae
Source: the annotation of a RefSeq genome assembly
GACACAGUGCCAGAGUGGUUAAUGGGUAUGACUCGAACGAUUCAUUCUUCAGCUAUCAUAUGACUUCGGUCGCACAGGUUCGAAUCCUGUCUGUGUCG